AUUGAACGCUGGCGGCAUGCCUUACACAUGCAAGUCGAACGGCAGCGCGGGAGCAAUCCUGGCGGCGAGUGGCGAACGGGUGAGUAAUAUAUCGGAACGUGCCCAUUAGUGGGGGAUAGCCCGGCGAAAGCCGGAUUAAUACCGCAUACGACCUGAGGGUGAAAGCGGGGGAUCGCAAGACCUCGCGCUAUUGGAGCGGCCGAUAUCAGAUUAGCUAGUUGGUGGGGUAAAGGCCUACCAAGGCAACGAUCUGUAGUUGGUCUGAGAGGACGACCAGCCACACUGGGACUGAGACACGGCCCAGGCUCCUACGGGAGGCAGCAGUGGGGAAUUUUGGACAAUGGGCGCAAGCCUGAUCCAGCAAUGCCGCGUGCAGGAAGAAGGCCUUCGGGUUGUAAACUGCUUUUGUCAGGGAAGAAAUCCUUUGGGCUAAUACCUCGGAGGGAUGACGGUACCUGAAGAAUAAGCACCGGCUAACUACGUGCCAGCAGCCGCGGUAA
Molecule: ribosomal RNA, 500 nt
Filed under: uncultured bacterium
Lineage: Bacteria
Description: partial 16S ribosomal RNA
Rfam family: Bacterial small subunit ribosomal RNA
Source: RNAcentral